GAUGAACGCUGGCGGCGUGCCUAACACAUGCAAGUCGAGCGAACAGACGAGGAGUUUGCGCGUCUGACGUUAGCCGCGGACGGGUGAGUAACAUGAGUAUAACCCACCUAUCAGACUGGGAUAAUCUCGGGAAAGCGGAUAUAACACCGGAGAAUAUAUUGAACCGCAUGGGUCAAUGGAGAAAGUCGGCUUUGCUGUACCUACUAGAUGCAUACCAGCCGCAUGAGCUAGUUGGGAAGGUAACGGCUUACCAAGGCUACGAUGCGUAGCCGAGCGGAGAGGGUGGUCGGCCACACUGGAACUGAGACGCGGUCCAGGCUCCUACGGGAGGCAGCAGUAGGGAAUCUUCCGCAAUGGGCGAAAGCUUGACGCAGCAACGCCGCGUGAGUGAUGAAGGUCUUCGGAUCGUAAAGCUCUGUUAUUAGGGAAGAACAACUGUGUAAGUAACUAUGCACGUCUUGACGGUACCUAGUCAGAAAGCAACGGCUAACUACGUG
RNAcentral lists this ribosomal RNA (497 nucleotides) under uncultured bacterium. RNAcentral describes it as "partial 16S ribosomal RNA". It matches the Rfam family "Bacterial small subunit ribosomal RNA", at positions 28 to 507 of the family's 1533-position model. The record is from RNAcentral.